UUCCGGUUGAUCCUGCCGGAGGCCAUUGCUAUCGGGGUCCGAUUUAGCCAUGCUAGUCGCACGGGUUCAGACCCGUGGCAAACAGCUCAGUAACACGUGGCCAAACUACCCUAUGGACGUGGACACCCUCGGGAAACUGAGGCUAAUCCACGAUACGGCUCCCACGCUGGAAGGCGGGGAGCCGGAAACGCUCCGGCGCCAUAGGAUGUGGCUGCGGUCGAUUAGGUAGACGGUGGGGUAACGGCCCACCGUGCCCAUAAUCGGUACGGGAUGUGAGAGCAAAUAGCCCGGAGAUGGUAUCUGAGACAAGAUACCAGGCCCUACGGGGCGCAGUAGGCGCGAAACCUUUACACUGCACGCCAGUGCGAUAAGGGGACCCCGAGUGCGAGGGCAUACAGUCCUCGCUUUUGUACACCGUAAGGAGGUGUACGAAUAAGGGCUGGGCAAGACCGGUGCCAGCCGCCGCGGUAAUACCGGCAGCCCGAGUGAUGGCCGCUGUUAUUGGGCCUAAAGCGUCCGUAGCCGGCCGAACAAGUCUGUCGGGAAAUCCAUCUGCCUAACAGAUGGGCGUCCGGCAGAAACUGUUCGGCUUGGGGCCGGAAGAUCCGAGGGGUACGUCUGGGGUAGGAGUGAAAUCCUGUAAUCCUGGACGGACCGCCGGUGGCGAAAGCGCCUCGGAAGGACGGACCCGACGGUGAGGGACGAAAGCUGGGGUCUCGAACCGGAUUAGAUACCCGGGUAGUCCCAGCCGUAAACGAUGAUCGCUAGGUGUGGCACAGGCUACGAGCCUGUGCUGUGCCGUAGGGAAGCCGUGAAGCGAUCCGCCUGGGAAGUACGUCCGCAAGGAUGAAACUUAAAGGAAUUGGCGGG
Molecule: ribosomal RNA, 870 nt
Filed under: uncultured archaeon
Lineage: Archaea
Description: bacterial SSU rRNA
Rfam family: Archaeal small subunit ribosomal RNA
Source: RNAcentral